This 468-nucleotide ribosomal RNA is filed under the name uncultured bacterium. Its description in RNAcentral is "partial 16S ribosomal RNA". It matches the Rfam family "Bacterial small subunit ribosomal RNA", at positions 28 to 507 of the family's 1533-position model. The record is from RNAcentral.
GACGAACGCUGGCGGCGUGCUUAACACAUGCAAGUCGAACGGAAAGGCCCUGCUUUUGUGGGGUGCUCGAGUGGCGAACGGGUGAGUAACACGUGAGUAACCUGCCCUUGACUUUGGGAUAACUUCAGGAAAAUGGGGCUAAUACCGGAUAGGAGCUCCUGCUGCAUGGUGGGGGUUGGAAAGUUUCGGCGGUUGGGGAUGGACUCGCGGCUUAUCAGCUUGUUGGUGGGGUAGUGGCUUACCAAGGCUUUGACGGGUAGCCGGCCUGAGAGGGUGACCGGCCACAUUGGGACUGAGAGACGGCCCAGACUCCUACGGGAGGCAGCAGGGGGGAACAUGGCACAAUGGGCGGAAGCCUGAUGCAGCAACGCCGCGUGCGUGAUGACGGCUUUUGGGUGGUAAACCGCUUUCGCCUGUGACGAAGCGGGAGUGACGGUAAUGGGUAAAGAAGCACCGGCUAACUACGUG